Molecule: ribosomal RNA, 1412 nt
Filed under: Ylistrum japonicum
Lineage: Eukaryota; Metazoa; Mollusca; Bivalvia; Pectinida; Pectinidae
Description: 16S ribosomal RNA
Rfam family: Bacterial large subunit ribosomal RNA
Source: RNAcentral
UGAAUCAUCUUUAAUUGUCUUAGUAGGGGUGACUGAAAUAGACGAGGUUUGAGCGAUAGGAAAAGUGUAACGUAAGUGAAUGAACAGAUUAACAGGCAGGUACCAGUGAUGGGAUCAUGUACCUUUUGCAUCAUGGCUCUAUUACUUUUUUUUCUUAGGGAAUAGCCCGAAAAUUCUGCGAUCUACUUUCUCGCUAGGGGUUAGCGUAAGAUAGCUAUCCCGAGACGGGAAGAUAGUGGCGAAAUACUUUUCGCGCGGGUUGAUAGCUGGUUGCCCUAGAAAUACAUAUAAGUGUAGCUCUAUGGAGGACACACUCUAAUGGUAAGGGUUUUCUAGGAAGCUAAAUAAGAAAUAUUAGUUUGGUGGGUUUGAAGUGAAGUGUUUUUAAAAGAAGUGAGGUUUUUCAGGAUAAGCUGAGAGACCUAGUGUAAAAGGAAGUUGUUGAAGAGUGGGGGUUUAAGUGGGCUUGAAGAAGCUAUCUUUUUGGAGUGGGUUAAAUCUCAGAGUUUCCCUAGAUUUAAAUAGAAGUUUUAAUUCCUUUUUGGUUUAUGGGGCCUUUUUACUGGACGAGUGUAGUAAAAGUGAUAAUGUAGGGAUGAGUAGUCGGAGUGGUGUAGUUGUUUUUAAUUCAGGUAGUAAAGCAAUGUGGAGUAGCAACUAUAUUGGUAAACAAAGCUAAAGGAACUCGGCAAAAAAAGGGACCGCCUGUUUAACAAAAACAUGGCUUUCUGAGUAACAUGGGGGGUCGUGCCUUCCCGGUGAGUUUUCGGGCUUAAACGGACGCGGUAAAUCGUGCUAAGGUAGCUAAAUUAUGGCCUAUUAAUUGUAGGUCCUGUGAAUGGUUUGACGAGUCUUUAACUGUCUCUAGUUUGUUUUGGUGAAAUUGAAUUGGAUGUGCAAAUGCUUCCGUAGGUAAGAAAGACGAGAAGACCCCGUGAAGUUAGAAAUUUAAGUUGUAAGAGUUAUUCCUCUAAGUUUUACUGUUUCCUAGAGUAACAGGUUGAUUUAAGGCUUCAUGUUAGUUCAAGUAGAGGGGUGCAGCGGCAGUUUUGGCUGGGGCAGCAAAGGAGCAAGACUAGACUCCUAUUAUUUAAAGUGCGGAUGCGCUACGACCCACAGAGGUAUAAAUUUGUGAUUAGCAGAAGAAGUUACUCCGGGGAUAACAGCGUUAUCCGCCCUGAUAGUUCUUAUAGAUGGGCGGGUUUGCGACCUCGAUGUUGGCUCUGGGUAUCCUAAGGCUUGCAGGCGGUCUUAAGGGUUGGUUCGUUCGCCCAUGAAAACCCGACGUGAGCUGAGUUCAGAUCGGCGAAAGUUAGGUCGGUUUCUAUCUUCUUUCUAUUGAGUUUAGGCUUUAGGGUACGAAAGGACAUUUAGCUUUAGGUUUAAACCUAUAAAGGUUGUAGUUAAAAUAA